CGUGGGUAACCUGCCCAAGAGAUCGGGAUAACACCUGGAAACAGAUGCUAAUACCGGAUAACAACAGAUGAUGCCUAUCAACUGUUUAAAAGAUGGUUCUGCUAUCACUCUUGGAUGGACCUGCGGUGCAUUAGCUAGUUGGUAGGGUAACGGCCUACCAAGGCGAUGAUGCAUAGCCGAGUUGAGAGACUGAUCGGCCACAUUGGGACUGAGACACGGCCCAAACUCCGUACGGGAGGCAGCAGGG
This 247-nucleotide ribosomal RNA is filed under the name uncultured Lactobacillus sp. Its description in RNAcentral is "partial 16S ribosomal RNA". It matches the Rfam family "Bacterial small subunit ribosomal RNA", at positions 116 to 354 of the family's 1533-position model. Lineage: Bacteria; Bacillati; Bacillota; Bacilli; Lactobacillales; Lactobacillaceae. The record is from RNAcentral.